CAAAAACAAAGCUAUCGGGUAUUACUCAUAGUUCUUUCUGCUCAAUGAGAUUUAAAUAGCCGCAGUACUCUGACUGUGCAAAGGUAGCGAAAUCAGUUGUCUUCUAAUUAAAGUCUUGUAUCAACGAACACAUGGGGGCCUACUUUACCAGUAAUAUUAAAAUGAAGUUACUAAGGGGGUGCAAAUACCCUCAUAUCUUAAUAGACGAGAAGACCCUAGAAAUUUUUAACAUUCGUUUUUGUUGGGGCAACAUAGUAACAUUUAAACCUACUAUAUAAGCAAGAAAAUUAUAAGAUAGCAGAAAUUACUCUAGGGAUAACAGCAUAAUGUAUAAUCGUUUGUGACCUCGAUGUUGGAUUAGGAAGUUAUAGCUUAAAAGGUAUUUAACUAUGCUCUGUUCGAGCG
RNAcentral lists this ribosomal RNA (405 nucleotides) under Sauroconcha gulosa. RNAcentral describes it as "Meridolum gulosa partial 16S ribosomal RNA". It matches the Rfam family "Archaeal large subunit ribosomal RNA", at positions 1900 to 2656 of the family's 2987-position model. The record is from RNAcentral. Lineage: Eukaryota; Metazoa; Mollusca; Gastropoda; Stylommatophora; Camaenidae.